AAAACAUAUAUUUGUCCAUUUUAUUCACAAGAAAAAUCAUCAGCAUUUAAACAUCAUAACAGUGUUUAAGCAGCAGCAGAAGCAAACAGAAUUACUAGCUAUAAUAGCAACUGGUAAAACACACAAAUGCACAAGGGUACUUCUUCUCCCCCUAAGUCUGUACAACACAGGCAUCUCCUUUAACAAUAACAACACCUGUAAUAAUCAGAGUCACCCUCUGACAUCUGCUUCAACAUCACCUGUGCACCAUAUCAG
RNAcentral lists this long non-coding RNA (255 nucleotides) under Lathyrus oleraceus (garden pea). RNAcentral describes it as "Pisum sativum (pea) long non-coding RNA (PSAT_LNC006364)". The record is from RNAcentral. Lineage: Eukaryota; Viridiplantae; Streptophyta; Magnoliopsida; Fabales; Fabaceae.